ACAAUGGGCGAAAGCCUGAUCCAGCCAUGCCGCGUGUGUGAAGAAGGUCUUCGGAUUGUAAAGCACUUUAAGUUGGGAGGAAGGGUUGUAGAUUAAUACUCUGCAAUUUUGACGUUACCGACAGAAUAAGCACCGGCUAACUCU
This 144-nucleotide ribosomal RNA is filed under the name Pseudomonas sp. Its description in RNAcentral is "partial 16S ribosomal RNA". It matches the Rfam family "Bacterial small subunit ribosomal RNA", at positions 368 to 504 of the family's 1533-position model. Lineage: Bacteria; Pseudomonadati; Pseudomonadota; Gammaproteobacteria; Pseudomonadales; Pseudomonadaceae. The record is from RNAcentral.